This 119-nucleotide ribosomal RNA is filed under the name Pteropus alecto (black flying fox). Lineage: Eukaryota; Metazoa; Chordata; Mammalia; Chiroptera; Pteropodidae. The record is from RNAcentral.
AUCUAUGGCCAUGCCACCCUGAACGUGCCCGAUCUGGUCUGAUCUCAGAAGCUAAGCAGGGGUGGGCCUGGUUAGUACUUGGAUGGGGGACCACCUAGGAAGACCAGGUGCUGUAGGCU